Molecule: ribosomal RNA, 253 nt
Filed under: uncultured bacterium
Lineage: Bacteria
Description: partial 16S ribosomal RNA
Rfam family: Bacterial small subunit ribosomal RNA
Source: RNAcentral
UACGUAGGGGGCAAGCGUUGUCCGGAUUUAUUGGGCGUAAAGAGCGUGUAGGCGGCCAGGUAGGUCCGUUGUGAAAACUCGAGGCUCAACCUCGAGACGUCGAUGGAAACCAUCUGGCUAGAGUCCGGAAGAGGAGAGUGGAAUUCCUGGUGUAGCGGUGAAAUGCGCAGAUAUCAGGAAGAACACCCGUGGCUAAGGCGGCUCUCUAGUACGGUACUGACGCUGAGACGCGAAAGCGUGGGGAGCGAACAGG